This 492-nucleotide ribosomal RNA is filed under the name uncultured bacterium. RNAcentral describes it as "partial 16S ribosomal RNA". It matches the Rfam family "Bacterial small subunit ribosomal RNA", at positions 29 to 507 of the family's 1533-position model. The record is from RNAcentral.
AGUGAACGCUGGCGGUAUGCCUAACACAUGCAAGUCGAACGGCAGGACAGUAAGAUUUUGCUCUUGCGGUUGGCGGGGGGCGGACGAGUGACGCAUACAUCGGCAUCUACUUUUACGGGGAGGAUAACGGAAGGACAGUUACGCUACUGCCGCAUACGACCAACGGGAGAGUUCAAUGGAUAUUCAGAGCUUUCCCGAUUCGUAUAGCCGGUGUCGGAUUAGCUAGUUGGCGGGGUAAAGGCCCACCAAGGCGAGGAUCCGUAGCCGGGCUGAGAGGAUGACCCGCCACACUGGAAUUGAGACACGGUCCAGACUCCUAAGGGAGGCAGCAGUGGGGAAUCUUGGGCAAUGGGCGCAAGCCUGACACAGCCAUCCCGCGUGGGUGACGACGGCCUUCGGAUCGUAAAGCUCUGUUGUUCGGAAAGAAAAGCUGCAGGCGAAUACCUCGCCGUCUUGACGGUAACCAACGACGAAGCAACGGCUAACUUCGUG